RNAcentral lists this ribosomal RNA (763 nucleotides) under uncultured bacterium. RNAcentral describes it as "bacterial SSU rRNA". It matches the Rfam family "Bacterial small subunit ribosomal RNA", at positions 31 to 785 of the family's 1533-position model. The record is from RNAcentral.
GAACGCUGGCGGCGUGGCUAAGACAUGCAAGUCGAACGGACUGUUCAAUUUAUUGUUCAGUUAGUGGCGUAAGGGUUAGUAACGGAUAGGUAACGUACCCUGUGCUUUGGGAUAGCGUCAGUUACUUCGGUAACUUUCCGAAAGGGGCGGUAAUACCAGAUAAUAUCAUUUGUCGAUAGGCAGAUGAUCAAAGAUUUAUCGGCAUAGGAGCGGCCUGUUUCCUAUCAGCUUGUUGGUGAGGUAAUGGCUCACCAAGGCAACGACGGGUAGCGGGACUGAGAGGUUGGCCCGCAACAUCGGGACUGAGACACUGCCCGGACCUCCACGGAGGGCUGCAGUAACGGAUAUUGUGCAAUGGGCGAAAGCCUGACACAGCGACGCCGCGUGUAGGAGGAAGUCUUUCGGGAUGUAAACUACUGUCAGGGGGAAGAAAGUGCGCUCCGGCGUAUUGAUCUAACCCAGAGGAAGUCACGGCUAACUUCGUGCCAGCAGCCGCGGUAAGACGAAGGUGGCAAGCGUUGUUCGGUAUUACUGGGCUUAAAGCGUGUGUAGGCGGAAAUGUAAGCGUUGCGUGAAAUCCCCCGGCUUAACCGGGGAACUGCGCAACGAACUGCGUUUCUUGAGGCAAGUAGGGGUGCAUGGAACUCUUGGUGGAGCGGUGGAAUGCGUAGAUAUCAAGAGGAACGCCAGUGGAGAAAUCGGUGCACUGGGCUUGUUCUGACGCUGAGACACGAAAGCGUGGGGAGCGAACGGGAUUAGAUAC